UCUUCCCACACUACUUCAACUUGUUCUUGCUUGCCCCUUGCUAUUGAAACUUUGAUUCUCUCCACUAUAAAGAAAGAAAAUGGGUCUUAAAGGUAAACUAACUGCCCAAAUUGAAAUUAGAGCUGGUGGAGAUGUCUUUCAUGAACUAUUUAGGUACAAACCACACCAAAUUCCCAACAUGAGCCCUACUAUUAUCCAACGCUGUGAUUUGCAUCAAGGAGAGUGGGGAACUAUUGGCUCCGUCAUCUUCUGGAAUUACACUCAUGGUAUGUUAAAUUGUAUUGAAAAAGAUCAUACUGAAUAGUACAACGAUAAUAUUUUAACUUAUUAUUCUAGUUAAAAGUGUCCAUUCUUUUCUAAUUCACUAUGCUAAUAGUAUUAUUGUCUAAUCAUGUGAUAUUUUAUUAUCCGUUGUGCUACAUGUAUAUAAUAGUUUAUAUACUGUUUGGUAUCGAUUAAAAUUUAUCUUUUAAUUUAAGUCAAAGUCAACAAUUCAUUUCAACCACAUAUUUUGUGGGUCUAACAACUUUUCAAGUACACAUUUCAUUAACUCCUAUCAAAAUCUCUUAAAUAUCUAAUCUUAAUCCCCACCAAAUAGGGUAAUAAUGGUUUACUUACACAUGAUGUGAUAAAAUAUGAUUGGUAGGAAUUUAUACAACCAAAAAAAUAAAUAAAUAAAAUAAAAUAAUCUCUUCCUUCUUUUUGAUACAUCAUCUAUAUGUAAAUCAUUAUAUAAUUUCAUUAUGUACAAGUAACAUUAUUCUUCUACUCUUAAGCUUAAAAAUUAAAUUCGAUAUGAUUGUAGAUGGGAAGCAAAAAGUAGCAAAAGAAGUAAUUGAAGCCAUAGACGUAGAAAAAAGGUCUGUGACAUUUAAGAUCAUUGAGGGUGAUUUGAUGGAGUUAUACAAGGCCUUCAAAGCCAGUUUUCAUGUUGAAACAAAUGGUGAUGUCGAUUUGGUGACAUGGACUUUCGAGUAUGAGAAGCUAAAUGACGACAUUGAAGAUCCACUAUCAUUGUUGGGUGUUUCCAUUAAGCUUACUAAAGAUAUUGAAUCUCACCAUCUCAAGGCAGCCUGAUAUGCAUAGGAGAGUCUCACUAAGCCAUCUCAACUUGUUUAUGCGAAUAUGUGUGUUUCUUUAUCGUUUUAGUAAUGAAAUAAAUAUUUCUUGGUGAUGUUUCUGGGUGAAAUAAUGUUGUGGCUUGGUGAUAAUUGUGUCACUGAGUGAUUAAGCAUAUUCUUAUUUUGUGAAAUAAUUAAAGUGCAG
Molecule: long non-coding RNA, 1266 nt
Filed under: Olea europaea subsp. europaea
Lineage: Eukaryota; Viridiplantae; Streptophyta; Magnoliopsida; Lamiales; Oleaceae
Source: RNAcentral